Molecule: ribosomal RNA, 534 nt
Filed under: uncultured rumen archaeon
Lineage: Archaea
Description: bacterial SSU rRNA
Rfam family: Archaeal small subunit ribosomal RNA
Source: RNAcentral
UACCUUAGAUGGGAUAACUUGGGAAAUGAGGAUAUACUGGAUAGGCAAUUAUUCCUGGAAUGGAUUUUUGUUUAAAUGUUUUUUCGCCUAAGGAUGGGUCUGCGGCCGAUUAGGUAGUUGGUUAGGUAACGGCUUACUAAGCCAUUGAUCGGUACGGGUUGUGAGAGCAAGAGCCCGGAGAUGGAACCUGAGACAAGGUUCCAGGCCCUACGGGGUGCAGCAGGCGCGAAACCUCCGCAAUGUGAGAAAUCGCGACGGGGGGAUCCCAAGUGCCAUUCUUAACGGGAUGGCUUUUCAUUAGUGUAAAGAGCUUUUGGAAUAAGGGCUGGGCAAGACCGGUGCCAGCCGCCGCGGUAACACCGGCAGCUCUAGUGGUAGCAGUUUUUAUUGGGCCUAAAGCGUCCGUAGCCGGUUUAAUAAGUCUCUGGUGAAAUCCUGUAGCUUAACUGUGGGAAUUGCUGGAGAUACUAUUAGACUUGAGACCGGGAGAGGUUAGAGGUACUCCCAGGGUAGAGGUGAAAUUCUGUAAUCCUG